This 75-nucleotide transfer RNA is filed under the name Clostridia bacterium. RNAcentral describes it as "tRNA-Arg". It matches the Rfam family "tRNA". From Rfam's summary of the family: Transfer RNA (tRNA) molecules are approximately 80 nucleotides in length. Their secondary structure includes four short double-helical elements and three loops (D, anti-codon, and T loops). Lineage: Bacteria; Bacillati; Bacillota; Clostridia. The record is from RNAcentral.
GCCCCUGUAGUUAAGUGGAUAUAACGAGUCCCUCCUAAGGACUAGUCAUCGGUUCGAUUCCGGUCAGGGGUGCCA